GUGAAAUUGACGAACAGCGUAAUCUGGUCAAAUUUAGAGGCAUUGGGUAUCAAAUUGAUCAAAUAGAUGAAAUUGAAACCUCUGGUCCAUUUCGAUGAAGUAAAGACACACCAUCGGAGGACGGAGGCGAUCCUUUGCUUCCAUUGUGUUUUCUUGAGUCUUGCAGCGAAGUGAAAAAUGGUGGGCGAGCACUUUGCUCCAGAGGGCUUCGAAUUCAAACAAAUCCCCAAAACCCAUUUGAAGGAAUGCUCCAUGGUCGCCAUCAGAGACUCUCCUCUCUCAUCCUACAAUGACUGCUCUGUCUUCCCUCCAAUCAACCACGAAAAUCUCCACCUUCCAUCACAACCCAAUAAACAACACUCUGACCCAUUAUCGCCAUCGCCAUCUUCUCCAUCACUAUCAUCUUCUUCGUCAUCGUCGCUGUCCUCUUUUUCACCUUCCGAUUCCGAUGAAUCAGGCCCGGUUUCACCGUUAUCGUCAGGUAGGCAGGUCCGGAAACCUGGUCAAGGCACCACCUGGAUAGGAAUUCGGGUUGAAGUAGUGCGUUCGAAGCUUUUUGCCAUGGCUUCCUCAUUUGGGUUCGAUAAAGUUUGGUGCUUUGCCUCUGGCGCGGGCAUGGCGGCUGGGGUGUUCAUAUUGUUGUCCUUGUACUUGCGCGCUCGGCAAAGGCGGUAUCGGAAUCAUUUGAAAUUGAUUGUGAAAGAGAAAGAUGAGGUUAGCUGAUCAUCCAUGUUCUUGUGUGAAAUUUUAUUGACUUUUGUGUGUUCGUAGAAAUUUGAUUUGCCCAACAAUGAAAAAGCUGAUAACUAUAUUUUCAAUAUAGUCUCCUUAUUGUUGAUUUGGUGCAUUUGCAGAAAAUUAAUAAACUCCUGCACCAAAUUGCUCAGAUGAACGAAGUUCUGGUAGCUCGGCAUAGAGUUCUGGCUUCAAAACUGGCUAAUUGACUUAAAGAAAUACAACAUCAUUAGCUGCUGAAUUGGUGAAAUUAGGAAGGCCAGUACAAUAACAGAGCUGAAAACAUUGGGGGGUUUGCAAAUUGCAAUAGCAAGCUAAUGCUCCAGUCAUCUCUAAGGAGAGAGGAUCCCAAUCUCCCCAAUCUCAAGUUGCAAUGGCACAAGUUUGAGCUCUGCUAACAAAUUUUAGCGGACAGAGUAAGGAACCAGCAGGUCUGGCACCCAAGCUCUAGAGUUAGAUGCACAAUGUUCCUGGUUUUUGUGACCCAGUUUAAAUAUAUUAGCUUUUGUAUAUAUUUGGUUUGGUCUCUUUAUGUGCGUAUGUGUUGACAGAUUUUAGAAUUAAUUAAAGUUCGAGCUCGUGAGUUAGCAACAAUUCUAUGCAGUAUAAUUUUCCUGGAAAGAGCAUUGUGUUUGCGUUUGACAGCGGAAAAAAAGUCA
This 1394-nucleotide long non-coding RNA is filed under the name Prunus dulcis (almond). Its description in RNAcentral is "sRNA ncRNA". The record is from RNAcentral. Lineage: Eukaryota; Viridiplantae; Streptophyta; Magnoliopsida; Rosales; Rosaceae.